CUCUACAUACACCGAAUGUUUGCUUCUAUCUAGUAACAAGAAAUAAAACUGUGUUGUGGGUAUAAAGAGGAUAGCUUUGCAUGAUAUUGGAGAACUAAAAUAUGAAAAUAGUUGCUAAACUAAAUAUAUUUAGAAUAUAUUACAAAUAACGAGUGUGCAAUAAUGAUGGUAUGGUGUGAGGAAUCAUCCUUGGCAAUUGAUAACAAGAUCGGUAAUCAUUCUUGCAAUUUAUAUGAGGGAGAGGCAUGAGCUAACAUAAUUUCCGUAAUUGGAUCAUAUGAACUUAUGAUUGGAUCUUUAGCAAGCAUGCACAACUAUUAUAAAUCAUUAAGGUAAACCCAACCAUAGCAUUAAACAUCAAGUCCCCUUGACUCCCAUACGUAAACAAACCCCCUUACUCGGGUGUAAGCUUCUGUCACUCUAGCCACCCACUAUAAGCUAAUCAUGAACAGAUUGCAACAUCCUCCAGCAUGAAUCUUUCACGUGUGUGCCUCACGGAAGGCACCUUAGGACAGCACCAAAAUAAAACAUACACUCAAACCAAUCAAGAUCAUCAAUCAACCCAAAGGACAACAUAAUUCUACUCAAACAUCAUAGGAUGAAAACACAACAUUGAUUAAUAAUAUGUGGCAUGAAACACCAUGUUCAGGUAGAGGAUUACAGCAGGGUGCGAGAGAGUGGACAGCUGAAAAUAGAUAAGGAAGGUGAUGAAGAUGAU
RNAcentral lists this long non-coding RNA (718 nucleotides) under Hordeum vulgare. Its description in RNAcentral is "long non-coding RNA (HVUL_LNC016517)". The record is from RNAcentral. Lineage: Eukaryota; Viridiplantae; Streptophyta; Magnoliopsida; Poales; Poaceae.